Molecule: ribosomal RNA, 425 nt
Filed under: uncultured bacterium
Lineage: Bacteria
Description: partial 16S ribosomal RNA
Rfam family: Bacterial small subunit ribosomal RNA
Source: RNAcentral
GUGGGGAAUAUUGGGCAAUGGGCGAAAGCCUGACCCAGCAACGCCGCGUGAAGGAAGAAGGUCUUCGGAUCGUAAACUUCUAUCCUUGGUGAAGAUAAUGACGGUAGCCGAGAAGGAAGCCCCGGCUAACUACGUGCCAGCAGCCGCGGUAAUACGUAGGGGGCAAGCGUUGUCCGGAAUGAUUGGGCGUAAAGGGCGCGUAGGCGGCCUGGUAAGUCUGGAGUGAAAGUCCUGCUUUUAAGGUGGGAAUUGCUUUGGAUACUGUCGGGCUUGAGUGCAGGAGAGGUAAGUGGAAUUCCCGGUGUAGCGGUGAAAUGCGUAGAGAUCGGGAGGAACACCAGUGGCGAAGGCGACUUACUGGACUGUAACUGACGCUGAGGCGCGAAAGUGUGGCGAGCAAACAGGAUUAGAAACCCUGGUAGUCC